RNAcentral lists this ribosomal RNA (327 nucleotides) under uncultured eukaryote. RNAcentral's name for it is "partial 18S ribosomal RNA". It matches the Rfam family "Eukaryotic small subunit ribosomal RNA", at positions 1470 to 1796 of the family's 1831-position model. The record is from RNAcentral.
CCCUUAGAUGUUCUGGGCCGCACGCGCGCUACACUGAUGCAUUCAACGAGUCUACAACCUGGUCUGAUAGGGCUGGGUAAUCUUUUGAAUGUGCAUCGUGAUUGGGAUAGAUGAUUGCAAUUCUUCAUCUUCAACGAGGAAUGCCUAGUAAACGCAAGUCAUCAGCUUGCAAUGAUUACGUCCCUGCCCUUUGUACACACCGCCCGUCGCACCUACCGAUUGAAUGGUUCGGUGAAGAUCUCGGACUUCGAUAUUUAUUCUUUACUGAGUUUAUAUUGUGGGAAGUUAUCUAAACCUCAUCAUUUAGAGGAAGGUGAAGUCGUAACA